GCCGGUGCAUAUCAAUAAGCGGAGGAAAAGAAACCAACAGGGAUUGCCCUAGUAACGGCGAGUGAAGCGGCAAUAGCUCAAAUUUGAAAUCUGGUCUCCUUUGGGGGCCCGAGUUGUAAUUUGCAGAGGGCGCUUUGGCGUUGACAGCGGUCUAAGUUCCUUGGAACAGGACGUCACAGAGGGUGAGAAUCCCGUACGUGGUCGCCUGUCUUCGCCGUGUAAAGCCCCUUCGACGAGUCGAGUUGUUUGGGAAUGCAGCUCUAAAUGGGAGGUAAAUUUCUUCUAAAGCUAAAUACUGGCCAGAGACCGAUAGCGCACAAGUAGAGUGAUCGAAAGAUGAAAAGCACUUUGGAAAGAGAGUCAAACAGCACGUGAAAUUGUUGAAAGGGAAGCGCUUGCAGCCAGACGUGCCCGUGGUGGUUCUCCUCCGCGGGCAGGCCAGCAUCAGUUCGGGCGGUCGGAUAAAGGCCUCUGUCACGUAUCUACCUUCGGGUUGACCUUAUAGGGGAGGCGUAAUGCGAUCAGCUCGGACUGAGGUCCGCGCAUCUGCUAGGAUGCUGGCGUAAUGGCUGUAAGCGGCCCGUCUUGAAACACGGACCAAGGAGUCUAACAUCUAUGCGAGUGUUUGGGUGUCAAGCCCGGGCGCGCAAUGAAAGUGAACGGAGGUGGGAACCCUUUCUUGGGGUGCACCAUCGACCGAUCCUGAAGUCUUCGGAUGGAUUUGAGUAAGAGCAUAGCUGUUGGGACCCGAAAGAUGGUGAACUAUGCUUGAAUAGGGUGAAGCCAGAGGAAACUCUGGUGGAGGCUCGCAGCGGUUCUGACGUGCAAAUCGAUCGUCAAAUUUGGGCAUAGGGGCGAAAGACUAAUCGAACUAUCUAGUAGUGGGUCCC
Molecule: ribosomal RNA, 890 nt
Filed under: Alternaria sp. BWF-2018a
Lineage: Eukaryota; Fungi; Ascomycota; Dothideomycetes; Pleosporales; Pleosporaceae
Description: partial large subunit ribosomal RNA
Rfam family: Eukaryotic large subunit ribosomal RNA
Source: RNAcentral